Molecule: ribosomal RNA, 451 nt
Filed under: uncultured methanotrophic bacterium
Lineage: Bacteria
Description: partial 16S ribosomal RNA
Rfam family: Bacterial small subunit ribosomal RNA
Source: RNAcentral
GGCAGCACNGGGGAAUAUUGGGCAAAGGGGGCAAACNUGAUCCAGCAAUACCGCGUGUGUGAAGAAGGCCUGCGGGUUGUAAAACACUUUUGGUAGGGAGGAAAAAAUGUGGGCUAAUAUCGUUCAGUCUUGACUUAACCUAAAGAAGAAGCACCGGGUAAAUCCGUGCCAGCAGCCGCGGUAAUACGGAGGGGGCAAGCGUUUAUUGGAAUUUUUGGGGGUAAAGCGGGCGUAGGGGGUUAUGUAAGUGUCAUGGGAAAACUCCGGGGUUUACCCGGGAAAAGCAUUUGAUAUUGCACGGAUAGAGUUUUGUAGAGGGUAGAGGAAUUCCCCGGGUAGCGGGGAAAAGUGUAGAUAUAUGGAGGAACAUCACAGGGGAAGGGGGGGGGUUGGACCAAAAAAGACGCUGAGGGGCGAAAGAGUGGGGAGCAAACACGAUUAGAUACCCCGG